GUACUUGAUGUUGAUUAUCCAACGUGGAUAACUGUGGCAAUUCUAGAGCUAAUACAUGCACCAAAGCUCCGACUUUUGGACGAGCGCAUCUAUUAGAUUAAAACCAAUCGGGUUAUUGGCCCGUUAAUUGGUGACUCUGAAUAGCUAUGGCUGAUCGCAUGGUCUUGUACCGGCGACGUAUCUAUCAAGUGUCUGCCUUAUCAACUUUCGAUGGUAGUUUAUGUGCCUACCAUGGUUGUAACGGGUAACGGAGAAUAAGGGUUCGACUCCGGAGAGGGAGCCUGAGAAACGGCUACCACAUCCAAGGAAGGCAGCAGGCGCGCAAAUUACCCACUCUCAGAAUGAGGAGGUAGUGACGAAAAAUAACGAGACCGUUCUCUUUGAGGCCGGUUAUCGGAAUGGGUACAAUUUAAACCCGUUAACGAGGAUCUAUGAGAGGGCAAGUCUGGUGCCAGCAGCCGCGGUAAUUCCAGCUCUCAAAGUGUAUAUCGUCAUUGCUGCGGUUAAAAAGCUCGUAGUUGGAUCUGCGUCUCAGGACCUGGUCCAUCCAUUGGAUGAGAACUGGGCUCCUAGGCUAAUAUUGCCAGUUUUCCCUACGUUACCUUGAUCGGUUGCGUAUGGUGGCUAGCAAGUUUACCUUGAAAAAAUUAGAGUGCUCAAUGCGGGCUAAUGCCUGAAUACUCGUGCAUGGAAUAAUGAAAUAGGAUCUCGGUUCUAUUUUGUUGGUUUUCUGAUCUGAGAUAAUGGUUAAGAGGGACGGACGGGGGCAUUCGUAUCGCUGCGUGAGAGGUGAAAUUCUUGGACCGUAGCGAGACGUCCGACUGCGAAAGCAUUUGCCAAGAAUGUCUUCAUUAAUCAAG
This 860-nucleotide ribosomal RNA is filed under the name Onchocerca cervipedis. RNAcentral's name for it is "SSU rRNA". It matches the Rfam family "Eukaryotic small subunit ribosomal RNA", at positions 117 to 981 of the family's 1831-position model. Lineage: Eukaryota; Metazoa; Nematoda; Chromadorea; Rhabditida; Onchocercidae. The record is from RNAcentral.